GGGACACGUGGUAUCCUGUCUGAAUAUGGGGGGACCAUCCUCCAAGGCUAAAUACUCCUGACUGACCGAUAGUGAACCAGUACCGUGAGGGAAAGGCGAAAAGAACCCCGGCGAGGGGAGUGAAAAAGAACCUGAAACCGUGUACGUACAAGCAGUGGGAGCCCCACCACUAAGCCAGUGGUGAACUCCACAUACGCAUCCUUUGCUGAGGAUACGGUUAACGGAGCGAAAGCGACGUUCAACCGCAAAAGAAGCAGAGGGGGCUUAGUGGUGGGGUGACUGCGUACCUUUUGUAUAAUGGGUCAGCGACUUAUAUUCUGUAGCAAGGUUAACCGCAUAGGGGAGCCGGAGGGAAACCGAGUCUUAACCGGGCGUUAAGUUGCAGGGUAUAGACCCGAAACCCGGUGAUCUAGCCAUGGGCAGGUUGAAGGUUGGGUAACACUAACUGGAGGACCGAACCGACUAAUGUUGAAAAAUUAGCGGAUGACCUGUGGCUGGGGGUGAAAGGCCAAUCAAACCGGGAGAUAGCUGGUUC
This 535-nucleotide ribosomal RNA is filed under the name Salmonella enterica subsp. enterica serovar Legon. RNAcentral describes it as "bacterial LSU rRNA". It matches the Rfam family "Bacterial large subunit ribosomal RNA", at positions 419 to 855 of the family's 2925-position model. The record is from RNAcentral. Lineage: Bacteria; Pseudomonadati; Pseudomonadota; Gammaproteobacteria; Enterobacterales; Enterobacteriaceae.